UUAUGGCUCAGGAUGAACGCUAGCUACAGGCUUAACACAUGCAAGUCGAGGGGCAGCAUAUCGAAAGCUUGCUUUGAUGAUGGCGACCGGCGCACGGGUGAGUAACGCGUAUCCAACCUUCCCUAUACUAGAGGAUAGCCCGGCGAAAGUCGGAUUAAUACUCUAUGUUGUAUUUCGAGGACAUCUGAAUAAUACCAAAGGUUUACCGGUAUAGGAUGGGGAUGCGUCUGAUUAGGUUGUUGGCGGGUAACGGCCCACCAAGCCCACGAUCAGUAGGGGUUCUGAGAGGAAGGUCCCCCACAUUGGAACUGAGACACGGUCCAAACUCCUACGGGAGGCAGCAGUGAGGAAUAUUGGUCAAUGGACGAGAGUCUGAACCAGCCAAGUAGCGUGCAAGGAUGACGGCCCUAUGGGUUGUAAACUGCUUUUAUGCGGGAAUAAAGUCCACUACGUGUAGUGGUUUGUAUGUACCGCAUGAAUAAGGACCGGCUAAUUCCGUGCCAGCAGCCGC
Molecule: ribosomal RNA, 511 nt
Filed under: uncultured bacterium
Lineage: Bacteria
Description: bacterial SSU rRNA
Rfam family: Bacterial small subunit ribosomal RNA
Source: RNAcentral